Lacerta agilis (Sand lizard) is the source of this 203-nucleotide long non-coding RNA. RefSeq lists it as uncharacterized. The transcript has 3 exons. NCBI's taxonomy places the organism in Eukaryota, Metazoa, Chordata, Lepidosauria, Squamata, Lacertidae. The record is from RefSeq and is a predicted model, not a curated record.
GCAGCAGCACUGCCCAUUGUGAGUAGAUAGGGGAGGAGGAGAGUCCAAGGCGGGGGAAAGGACUCUCUACUCAACAUCAUGUUUGGGGCACUACUGGUUCUCCUCUGCAGCCUCCUGCAUAGUUCAGAUCAGAAUCAUAUGGAUCAUUCAGACAGGUUAUCAGGUGCCUCCUUUCAAAGACAGGAAGUGGCACUAGGAGGAGG